AAAAAAAUCAACUUAAUUUGCAAAUAUUACUUUAUCAGGGUGUCUAAAAAUAUGUAAUUGUUUUCUAAUUUUUCCCCUACCACAUAGUUUUAUAGGUAUUUGGGGGAACUUAUUGCUCUGGGAAUUGGUCUAAAUCAUGGUAGUAGGAGAGGAAGAAUUAAAUGGAUAUAAAAUUUUUCUGCUGUGAUGAAUUUCUGCCAGAGAUCUUGAAAAUUAUUUCGUAGAACCUGUCUAAGGCUGUAGUAAACGAUGAUCUUUUCUACCAGGUGGGUUCUGAAUUGAUUCAAAGGUACUCAGCUGCUGCAUCAUCUUUAUUUUCACACAUCAAAGAACUCUGGCACAUCUACUAAGUCACAUAGAAAGACCCAGAAUCAGCAGUUACCCUCAAGUUACUCUGGAAGAACUUCCUAGGCUCAAACAAAACCCCAAAUUACGUACGGACCAGGGGAAGGACACUCAGUUUUGUUGGCUUCAUCCUGUGACUCCCUGCCUGUUAGCUUGCUCAGGGGCAGAUGCUGGAGCUCAGGGCCACCAGCGUGACAUAAAGGUGACUGGGCAGAUGUGCCUGGCAUGCCGAGCCACAGAACGGGCAGAAGAUGCAGCAGCUGGGGGCUUGUUUCUUCUUCUGGACCUGGAACUCCAUGGAGUCAGGAGAAAAGUUGUGCUUUUGUCAAAUACAUGUAAGGUCAAUGACGUAGCCAAUGCAGGAUGGAUGGAAAAAUAAGAGGCCCUGUCAGUGUCCACAAGACUGGAAGUAUUGUUCCUGUAAAUUAAUGUAGAAUUAAAAAAAAAAAAAGAGAAACCUUCUCUGCUUUCCCCUAUUUGCAAGCCAAUUGAACAUGUCUUUGUGGUGGGGGAGGCACGCUGGACUCUAUGGAAUCAGCUUCUAGUAUUCAAAGGAGCAACUGGAAAUGAAAACAUGACUAUACAUCAGCAUGCUGGCACCUUGUUUUAGCUGAUGAAACAACAGUAAACCUCACAGCUUCAAGGUAAACUAUGUCUGCCAAAACUACCUGAAGUUCAUAAGAGUAAUUAAGAUCUACACCCAGAAGAAUAAUUAAAAUAUUCAAAACAUCUAUUGAUCUUGAACAUCUGGUGACUUGUCAGUAACCACAGAUACACAAAACCAGCCUGUUUUAACAUACUGUUAAUUUGCAGUCUUUGAUUAAAUAGAUUUUUUUUGGUAUGUGUCCGUAAUAACUAAAAGGAUCAGCCCUGCCAUUCAUUACAUUCUUUUUAAUAAAUGACCUCUGUUUUGUAUCCCAGCAGGGAAGUUUGUAACAGUGAAUGUUCCUGUCGAUUGAAAAUUGAUCUUUUCCAAGGGAUGUUCUAAAAGAUUAAGCAGGUAUCUUUAGGCAUGAGACUCAGGUCACCUCCAUCCUGUAAGUAGCAUUCUUGAUUUUAUUUCUGUUUUUGUUUUUAGAUCUGUGGCUUCAGCCAAGACCUGUGUCUUUCAGACCACAGAAUUUUUUUCUCUUCUACUAACUUUGAAAAUAUGUAAGUCACAAGUUGCAUUGAUACAUGAAAAAAUAAAUAGUGGGAUAUAGACGAUAAUGACUAUACUCAUGUCAUGUUGAAGAGAAAAAUACCUGUCUCUAUAGACAUUUCAUAGCUUAUUGAUCUUUGCAAGAAUAUUUUUUUCUUCUCAGCCUCAAAAUCUGCUGCAAAACAACUGACCUUUUCUUUUUAAAUAAUGUAAAUAAUUUCUUUUUUGAUGGACUAGAACCACAGGGCCUGGUCAUGCCCUAUUAAAUACUAUUGAUGGAAGCAGAGUACAACUUGGAGUAAUGUCAGCCAAAGUAUCUUUCUGUCAAAUUACCAUUUUCAAGUCUGAAUAAACUAUACAAUAAAGAAAAAAGAAAACCUAACCCUACAGGGCAAUCCAGAAGGAAAAAGAAAAAAAAAAAAAAAAAAAAAAAAGACAAAACCAAUAAACCAAAUAAACCAAGCUAACAAACAAAACCUGUGUGGCUAUCUGAAAAUUGACUACGUUGCAGAUUGUAUUACAAGUUGAACAUGGAUUAAAUUUGUUGAAAGAUAGCUCAAGUUCACAAGAUCUCAGAGCAAUUUUAAAUCUAUUUAAGAUGGCUUACUCACUGCAUUAUUUGAUAAUGUCUGACCUUAGUGAAACAUCCAAAGGAGAUCUCUCUUCUUAGAGUUGUAUUUUCAGUGGAGCACAUUCACGGUGCAUUGAAAUUCUGGGUCUUGAGAAUGGUUGCACUAAGCCCUUCAGAAUUAAACCACUGAGCAUCAUAAACUCAAAAGUCCAUGUAUCAAGCUCAUGACAGAAGGGUCUUGAAUCCACCUCCUGCCCAAAGGUAUGCAGGAGGCCCUUAUAGUCACUGUGUUCUUGCUUCUUUUUGCUAAUAUCUAUGAAAACUUGACUACCGCACCCCGCUCUGUCUGUGUAAUGUAUGUAUAAUUUUUUAUUUAUCACUUUAAACUCUGGCAAUGAUCAUGUUAUAGUGCUGGUUUUGCCUAAGAGACAUGUAGUUUGAAAAGUAUGAUAUAGUCCCAAAACUGCUGCAAGGCAAAUGUUGAAGCAGUGAUGGAGCCACUGUUUCAAUCUUCCUGGGACUUGCUUAUAAUUU
Molecule: long non-coding RNA, 2591 nt
Filed under: Anas zonorhyncha (Eastern spot-billed duck)
Lineage: Eukaryota; Metazoa; Chordata; Aves; Anseriformes; Anatidae
Description: lncRNA (ENSAZOG00000007408.1)
Source: RNAcentral